This 586-nucleotide ribosomal RNA is filed under the name uncultured bacterium. RNAcentral describes it as "partial 16S ribosomal RNA". It matches the Rfam family "Bacterial small subunit ribosomal RNA", at positions 355 to 1375 of the family's 1533-position model. The record is from RNAcentral.
UGGGGAAUUUUGGACAAUGGGCGAAAGCCUGAUCCAGCAAUGCCGCGUGUGUGAAGAAGGCCUUCGGGUUGUAAAGCACUUUUGUCCGGAAAGAAAUCCUUGGCUCUAAUACAGUCGGGGGAUGACGGUACCGGAAGAAUAAGCACCGGCUAACUACGUGCCAGCAGCCGCGGUAAUACGUAGGGUGCAAGCGUUAAUCGGAAUUACUGGGCGUAAAGCGUGCGCAGGCGGUUUGCUAAGACCGAUGUGGAACCCCCGGGCUCAACCUGGGAACUGCAUUGGUGACUGGCAGGCUAGAGUAUGGCAGAGGGGGGUAGAAUUCCACGUGUAGCAGUGAAAUGCGUAGAGAUGUGGAGGAAUACCGAUGGCGAAGGCAGCCCCCUGGGCCAAUACUGACGCUCAUGCACGAAAGCGUGGGGAGCAAACAGGAUUAGAUACCCUGGUAGUCCACGCCCUAAAACGAUGUCAACUAGUUGUUGGGGAUUCAUUUCCUUAGUAACGUAGCUAACGCGUGAAGUUGACCGCCUGGGGAGUACGGUCGCAAGAUUAAAACUCAAAGGAAUUGACGGGGUCAUAGCUGUUUCCU